GGUGGGUGAUCACCUGACUUCCUCCCAAAGGUCCUUGAACCAUAAACCAUAGAGUUUCACCCGAUCACAUGACCCGCAGGUCCUGCGAUGCUAACUAGAGGGACACUCUACUCUUUUGGAGAUUUCUCAAUUAGAAGUUAUAUGGGCAAUGACACAUUUAACAAUGACACAUACCCAACAAAAACCAAAUACAUGCUGAAAUGGGAGGAGGAGAUGGAUAGAAAGUUCCCUAUUUCAAUGUGGUUGAAAGCCCUUUCUAUAGGUAGACAUUUUUCUAGAUGCGCUAACCACGGCGAACAACUGGAAAAACUAUAUUACCGAUGGUACUUUACCCCAAAACAGUUGGCUACUCUAUAUACUGAUCAAGAUCCUGUUUAUUGGAGAGGUUGCGGGAUGAUUGGAUCCUUAUGUCAUAUAUUCUGGAAAUGCCCAAAACUGACGAAAAUAAAGGAUGACCUGCUAUCUCUUUUACAAACCCUCUCCCCAUCAAUCCAUAUUAUCCCUAAAGAACUGGUCCUCCUCAUGUUGGGUAUAGAUGGUUUCCUGAUACUAUUCAAUUCCCGAUAUGCCACAUUCUGCACAACUUCAGAUUGCUAAUUGCUAGAAAAUGGAGGUCAUCAGAUAUCCUAACAAUUGCCGAGAUCAUGCAUAUGGUAAACUACAAUUUAAUCUUUGAAGAGGUGAUUGCUAGACAGGAGCAUAAAACAGAGGUUUUUAAAAAGAAUUGGGAUUUGUGGAUUCGCCAAUUUAACACUUCAUAGGUCCUCCCCUAUCAUUGAACCACUGGCCUUAUUGACAGAUAGGUCUUACAUUAGGUCUCUUCUUUCUAUAUUAUCCGAUCGCAGUUAUUUACGGAGUGUGGCGGGGUUCGGAGAUAUUCACAGCCUUAGAUUGUGAUAGUAAGAGAAAACAGAUAAAAUGUGCUGUUGGGAAACUCCAAAGAUAUACUGCAAUCAACUGCAAACAUGACAGAAGAUGUAAGGGUAACAAGUGCUACACUUCAUUUGGGACUUAUGUUCAGAUAUUAAAAAUUGUCAUUAGAAUAUUAUAAUUUUUUUUAGUUGUCAUUGUGGUUGUAUACAUAGGGUCGACUACCAUAUCAAGA
This is a long non-coding RNA of Hyla sarda, 1105 nucleotides long. RefSeq lists it as uncharacterized. The record is from RefSeq and is a predicted model, not a curated record. The transcript is spliced from 3 exons. Lineage: Eukaryota; Metazoa; Chordata; Amphibia; Anura; Hylidae.